This 516-nucleotide ribosomal RNA is filed under the name Sanguinoderma rugosum. Its description in RNAcentral is "SSU rRNA". It matches the Rfam family "Bacterial small subunit ribosomal RNA", at positions 406 to 948 of the family's 1533-position model. The record is from RNAcentral. Lineage: Eukaryota; Fungi; Basidiomycota; Agaricomycetes; Polyporales; Polyporaceae.
UGAUAGUAUUUCUUUAAAUUCAGCAUGUCGUAAGGGAAAAUAAUGAUAUUACCUUACUAUGAGUGUCGUCCAAAGCUGGUGCCAGAAGACUCGGUAAGACCAGAGACGCAAACGUUAAUCAUCUUAAACAGGCGUAAAGGGUUUGUAGGCAGCUUUCAUAAUAUUAUUUCUUACAAAAAUAAAGAAGUGGUCUGAUUGAAAGCUAGAAUCAAAAAGAGGUUAUAGUGUAUAACGCCUAGAGGAGGGCUGAUAUCCUUAGAUCCUAGGCAGAAUACUUAGGGCGAAGGCCACUCUCCACUAAUGAUUGACGCUGAGAAACGAAGGUAAGGGUAGGAAAUAGGAUUAGAUACCCCGGUACUCCUUUCUGUAAACGAUGAAUGGUAGUCAUUAGUAAAAUUAAAAAUUACUAGAGACGAAGUUAACACAAUAACCAUUCCGCCUUGUGAGUACAACUGCAAAGUAGAAAACAAAAAAAUUAGUCGGUCUCGAAGCAAACGGAGUGAAGCAUGUUAUUUA